This 89-nucleotide ribosomal RNA is filed under the name Schistosoma mansoni. Its description in RNAcentral is "partial 28S ribosomal RNA". It matches the Rfam family "Eukaryotic large subunit ribosomal RNA", at positions 261 to 349 of the family's 3401-position model. Lineage: Eukaryota; Metazoa; Platyhelminthes; Trematoda; Strigeidida; Schistosomatidae. The record is from RNAcentral.
AGAGUCGAGUUGUUUGGGAAUGCAGCUCUAAGUGGGUGGUAAAUUCCAUCUAAAGCUAAAUAUUGGCACGAGACCGAUAGCGAACAAGU